Molecule: long non-coding RNA, 417 nt
Organism: Corythoichthys intestinalis (scribbled pipefish)
Lineage: Eukaryota; Metazoa; Chordata; Actinopteri; Syngnathiformes; Syngnathidae
Exons: 3
Source: RefSeq, a predicted model, not a curated record
CAUGUUGCUUGUUGCCUUGGGCCCCCAGGCACCCUUGCUACGCCUCUGGUUAUAUUACCAUGUUUCACCUAUAAAAUCCCAAAGAAAUCUGGCUGUGGCCAUUCACUUCUGUGUCUUGACACUCGAUGAUACAUGCUACAUGGAGUUUUUGGAUCGAAACAAGAUGGGUGAGAAUGGGACCAGGUGCUGUUGAUCAUCGUCAUUAGCUUACUUAAACCGGUCCUUGGCCUCACAUCAUCACCAGAUCAACAAUUCACCUACAGGCCGGAUUCUUCGGACUCUAUCUAACACUCCCUCUCAUCGUCAAUGAAUUAGGUCCCCUGUUACUCCAGAACCUUAACAAAUAUGUUAUUACCAGUCUAAAAAUGGGUCAUCUUUAAUGUGGAGCUGCUUGUUCCAAUUAAAAUAUUUUGUAAA